This is a long non-coding RNA of Astatotilapia calliptera (eastern happy), 1469 nucleotides long. Lineage: Eukaryota; Metazoa; Chordata; Actinopteri; Cichliformes; Cichlidae. The record is from Ensembl.
GGCUCCGGACCCUGAUAAGAUUGCCGCUGUACAGAAGUGGCCGGCCCCGCAGACUAUUCAUCAGGUUACACCCCCCAUUACCUGAUGUUUGGAUGGAAUGCUCGUCUGCCAGGCGAGCUGUUUAUGGGGACGAAGAGACCCAUGGAGUCAACCACGACGCAGGAGUGGGUGAGGAGACAUCAUGAGCGCUUGAGGCUGGCAUACCAGAUGGUGGAAAAGAGCAGCCAGAAGGCUGCAGGCCGGAUGAAGGACAGGUAUGAUGUUGGGGCUAGGGCAGCACCAUUGCUCCCGGGGGAAAGGGUUUUAGUCCAUACGACAAGAAGGGACGGACAGGGUAAACUGGCAGCACACUGGGAGGAAGAGAUCCAAAUUGUAGUUGGCCAGCCAAACCCUAUGAACCCAGUCUACAGAGUUCGGCCAGAAGGUAAAGAUGGGCCUGUUAGAGUGGUCCAUCGUAAUCGCCUGCGCAUAUGUACUUUCUUGCCUUCCGUCAAUGAUAAAACAGGAGGUGGCGCCUUAGAACCAGGAACGGCAGCUGCGCAUGAUAUAGCGACAGCCUCAGACCAGUGGUUACUUCUAUGGAGUAUGGCACAGCAGAUGCCAGGGCCAGGUCACUAUCCGUCCUCCAACAAGUCCGCCCCUGCAACUCAGGAGGGUUUAAGGAGAUCGGCCCGUGAAAAUCUCGGGAAGCCCCCACCUCGAUAUACUUAGUAGAGUGCCCGAGGACGGGCUAGGAAAAAGUUGGGGUGGGUGUUACGGAGUAUAGCAUGGUGGGAAAGGACGGAGAGAAACCCCCCCCCCCCCCCCCUCAAGUUUUGUUGGUUUUGUUUUUGAGUUUGUUUUGGAUUAAUUGCAUGUUUUUGUGUUUAUUUACGGUUGUUGCACCUGUGUGGGAGGGGAGAUUUUACUCUAGCCUAGCUGCCAGUGAGGCGGAGUUGAAUACAGGGAGCGGCUGAUUGGAGUUCCUCUUUAUAAAGGGGAGAGGAAGCAGGAAGUGUUGUUGUUGUUUUUAGUAGGACCUCGGUGAAGCAGGAGAGCCCCGGAGAUCCAGGACAAAGUGUGCGCAUUUUUAAUAGAAAGGAUUUUUUUAGCCUGGCCUGGUUUUUGCUUUUAACGAAACGGAGGAUGUGGAAAGGAGGACGUAUUCCUAUGGAGCUGUGAGAGGACGUGCUGGAAAAGAGAGGACGUGCUGGAAAAGAGAGGACGUGUUGGAAAAGAGAGGACGUGCUGGGAAAAAAGGACGUAUUGGAAAAGAGGAAAACGAGCACUAGACUGGAGACCUCCUGCGCCCCGAUAAGAAGAACUGGACCAGCUCGGGGAAGUUUAACUGCCGGGAGGUAAUGUGGAGACCCAGCCUCGAACAAAGUUAAAGCCUGAAAAGGCGAAGAACUCGGACCGCGGUGGUCUUUGGGCUUUGGAUCCCUGGCCGGGGUUGUCUUCAGCCGGUAGUUUGCCUAGAGGAAGAACGA